UGGCAGCUUUGGUUUUGCUUUAUGGGUGGUCUUUGUUCUUCAAGACUCAUAUGAAUACCACAUAUUAGCUGAGCUGGUUCUCCCUUGAUGUCUGUGUUGUAUUGUACACAUGUUGUCACUGUUUGACACUUAAACAAUCCAGAUUCUUACCCAGCCCAUAUUUAGUGCCAUAAUAAACUUCGGAGCAUAUGUUUUUGAGAGCAACAGUAACAUUCAUCACUGCAAUGUGACAUAAAAAUAAGCACUACUGGAGAGCCGGCGUGCCUUCAGAGGGCAGAGCUGGACUGGAAGGUGAAGGGAUGUGGUCAUCAUCUGUGCUGCUCUUACUGGGCUCUUUUCUUCCUCGCCUUGUCUCAGUAAAUCAAAGCAGUUGUUGAAGUGACCUCCAAAAUUCACCCCGUACAUGUGAAAAACACACACUGUUACAAAACUUUUUUAGUGAAACAUUUCCUGUUUGGGGCUUUGGCUUGACAAACCAGAGAUGCAUAAACCAUCGCUCCUCUCUUCAUCUCUCUCAUUCUCUCUUUCAGCAGGGAGUUCCUCUGGGGCCCAGUCCGAAGCACCGGUCUGGCAGCUGCGCCGCACCAAUGCCUCCCGCUCCCGAGACCAUCUCCCCGAGGAAGCAUCUCCUGACCAACGUGCCUUCGCAGACUGCACUAAUUGAGGCGCUUCUAUGUAUAAAGUCAGCAUCUGACAUCAGUAGAUCUGGUAUAGAGACAUGGCGUUGGAUGCAAACCAUACCCAACACUGAGCAGAUCCAAAAAGAAAAG
RNAcentral lists this long non-coding RNA (770 nucleotides) under Phasianus colchicus (ring-necked pheasant). RNAcentral's name for it is "lncRNA (ENSPCLG00000000256.1)". Lineage: Eukaryota; Metazoa; Chordata; Aves; Galliformes; Phasianidae. The record is from RNAcentral.